GCACAAUGGGCGAAAGCCUGAUGCAGCCAUGCCGCGUGUAUGAAGAAGGCCUUCGGGUUGUAAAGUACUUUCAGUUGUGAGGAAGGGGGUAACGUUAAUAGCGUUAUCUCUUGACGUUAGCAACAGAAGAAGCACCGGCUAACUCCGUGCCAGCAGCCGCGGUAAUACGGAGGGUGCGAGCGUUAAUCGGAAUUACUGGGCGUAAAGCGCAUGCAGGUGGUUCAUUAAGUCAGAUGUGAAAGCCCGGGGCUCAACCUCGGAACUGCAUUUGAAACUGGUGAACUAGAGUGCUGUAGAGGGGGGUAGAAUUUCAGGUGUAGCGGUGAAAUGCGUAGAGAUCUGAAGGAAUACCAGUGGCGAAGGCGGCCCCCUGGACAGACACUGACACUCAGAUGCGAAAGCGUGGGGAGCAAACAGGAUUAGAUACCCCUGUAGUCCACGCCUAAACGAUGUUCAUUUGGAGGCUGACCCCUUGAGCCGUGGCUUUCGGAGCUAACGCGUUAAGUAGACCGCCUGGGGAGUACGGUCGCAAGAUUAAAACUCAAAUGAAUUGACGGGGGCCC
Molecule: ribosomal RNA, 563 nt
Filed under: uncultured bacterium
Lineage: Bacteria
Description: bacterial SSU rRNA
Rfam family: Bacterial small subunit ribosomal RNA
Source: RNAcentral